GGAAAUGUAGUUACAGGGUACUGGG
RNAcentral lists this non-coding RNA (25 nucleotides) under Cricetulus griseus (Chinese hamster). Lineage: Eukaryota; Metazoa; Chordata; Mammalia; Rodentia; Cricetidae. The record is from RNAcentral.